Molecule: ribosomal RNA, 465 nt
Filed under: Vreelandella stevensii
Lineage: Bacteria; Pseudomonadati; Pseudomonadota; Gammaproteobacteria; Oceanospirillales; Halomonadaceae
Description: partial 16S ribosomal RNA
Rfam family: Bacterial small subunit ribosomal RNA
Source: RNAcentral
CCUACGGGGGGCUGCAGUGGGGAAUAUUGGACAAUGGGGGCAACCCUGAUCCAGCCAUGCCGCGUGUGUGAAGAAGGCCCUCGGGUUGUAAAGCACUGUCAGUGAGGAAGAACGCCUGGUGGUUAAUACCCAUCAGGAAAGACAUCACUCACAGAAGAAGCACCGGCUAACUCCGUGCCAGCAGCCGCGGUAAUACGGAGGGUGCGAGCGUUAAUCGGAAUUACUGGGCGUAAAGCGCGCGUAGGUGGCUUGAUAAGCCGGUUGUGAAAGCCCCGGGCUCAACCUGGGAACGGCAUCCGGAACUGUCAAGCUAGAGUGCAGGAGAGGAAGGUAGAAUUCCCGGUGUAGCGGUGAAAUGCGUAGAGAUCGGGAGGAAUACCAGUGGCGAAGGCGGCCUUCUGGACUGACACUGACACUGAGGUGCGAAAGCGUGGGUAGCAAACAGGAUUAGAUACUCCAGUAGUC